UACGGAGCCCCUAAAGGGACAUGGAUGGACUUUUUUUUUUUGCGAGAUCUCGCAAAAGUAUUGCGAGAUCUCGCAAUACUUUUUGCGAGAUCUCGCAAAACGUAUUGCGGGAUCUCGCAAUACUUUUUGCGAGAUCUCGCAAAAGUUUUUUCUCCAUUCAGUGAACCGGAAGUAAAACACGCCUAAAAUAGCCUAAAAUAAGCCUAAAAUAAUAAUAAUAAUAAGAAGAAGGAGCAACAGAGCACGGAUGAUGUGUACCAUAGACAUAAUAAAAGAUAGACCCCGCAUCGGCCGCUACCACGAAUGGGCGCUGUCGAGAAAUGCGGCCGCCAUCUUGGUCCGGUUAUCCGCCUCACUCUGC
Molecule: non-coding RNA, 361 nt
Organism: Xyrichtys novacula (pearly razorfish)
Lineage: Eukaryota; Metazoa; Chordata; Actinopteri; Labriformes; Labridae
Source: the annotation of a GenBank genome assembly